AAGCGGAGGAAAAGAAACUAACAAGGAUUCCCCUAGUAACUGCGAGUGAAGCGGGAAAAGCUCAAAUUUAAAAUCUGAUAGUCUUUAUGGCUGUCCGAGUUGUAAUCUAGAGAAGUGCUUUCCGCGUUGGACCGUGUACAAGUCUCUUGGAACAGAGCGUCAUAGAGGGUGAGAAUCCCGUCUUUGACACGGACUACCAGUGCUUAUGUGAUGCGCUCUCAAAGAGUCGAGUUGUUUGGGAAUGCAGCUCAAAAUGGGUGGUAAAUUCCAUCUAAAGCUAAAUAUUGGCGAGAGACCGAUAGCGAACAAGUACCGUGAGGGAAAGAUGAAAAGAACUUUGGAAAGAGAGUUAAACAGUACGUGAAAUUGUUGAAAGGGAAACGCUUGAAGUCAGUCACGUUGGCCAGAAAUCAACCCUCAUGGGUGUACUUUCUGGUUUUACGGGUCAGCAUCAAUUUUGAUUGUUGGAUAAAAGUCAAUAUUUAUGCAUUUUCGGAUGUAUAGCCUUUGGUUGCAUACAACAGUUGGGAUUGAGGAACUCAGCAUGCCGCAAGGCCGGGUCACUUGUGAUCACGUACAUGCUUAGGAUGCUGGCAUAAUGGCUUUAAUCGACCCGUCUUGAA
Molecule: ribosomal RNA, 623 nt
Filed under: Hygrophorus pustulatus
Lineage: Eukaryota; Fungi; Basidiomycota; Agaricomycetes; Agaricales; Hygrophoraceae
Description: eukaryotic LSU rRNA
Rfam family: Eukaryotic large subunit ribosomal RNA
Source: RNAcentral